Molecule: long non-coding RNA, 283 nt
Organism: Zalophus californianus (California sea lion)
Lineage: Eukaryota; Metazoa; Chordata; Mammalia; Carnivora; Otariidae
Exons: 3
Source: RefSeq, a predicted model, not a curated record
ACUGGCACACUGCAGAUUCCUUUCCUCUCAGAGAGUUUUAACUCUAAGACCAAGCUGAUUUCUUUCAAGGAGGUUUAAACCUAAAGCCAUCAUGACCAGAGUGCCCAUCGCUUUGGCACUUAAAUGAGAAUCCUAGUUAUCAGGACAUCUGAUGGCGUUCCAGCUGACACAUCCAACCGUGGAACAGGGGAGCACAAGGGCAGAGAAGGGCAAUGGCAGCCAACAGCUCUGAUUAACAGUCCCCAGGAGCUCCCACAAGAUGCUUCCGCCUAUGUCUGCUGAC